This 400-nucleotide ribosomal RNA is filed under the name uncultured Subdoligranulum sp. Its description in RNAcentral is "bacterial SSU rRNA". It matches the Rfam family "Bacterial small subunit ribosomal RNA", at positions 354 to 771 of the family's 1533-position model. Lineage: Bacteria; Bacillati; Bacillota; Clostridia; Eubacteriales; Oscillospiraceae. The record is from RNAcentral.
GUGGGGGAUAUUGCACAAUGGGGGAAACCCUGAUGCAGCGACGCCGCGUGGAGGAAGAAGGUUUUCGGAUUGUAAACUCCUGUCGUUAGGGACGAUAAUGACGGUACCUAACAAGAAAGCACCGGCUAACUACGUGCCAGCAGCCGCGGUAAAACGUAGGGUGCAAGCGUUGUCCGGAAUUACUGGGUGUAAAGGGAGCGCAGGCGGGAAGACAAGUUGGAAGUGAAAACCAUGGGCUCAACCCAUGAAUUGCUUUCAAAACUGUUUUUCUUGAGUAGUGCAGAGGUAGAUGGAAUUCCCGGUGUAGCGGUGGAAUGCGUAGAUAUCGGGAGGAACACCAGUGGCGAAGGCGGUCUACUGGGCACCAACUGACGCUGAGGCUCGAAAGCAUGGGUAGCAA